CCUGAAAUAGUCAUUCAGUUUUGAAGUGUCACAAUC
RNAcentral lists this small RNA (36 nucleotides) under Bombyx mori (domestic silkworm). RNAcentral describes it as "ovarian small RNA-14018". The record is from RNAcentral. Lineage: Eukaryota; Metazoa; Arthropoda; Insecta; Lepidoptera; Bombycidae.